CAUGAUGAGAAGUCUAUAAAAAUUGUGUGCUACCAAAGAUCUGUCUUAUUUGGCAGCUGCUGCCUCACCCACAACUUUUGAUAUCUAGGAGGACUCUUCUCUCCCAAACUACCUGUCACCAUGGCCCACCGAUUUCCAGCCCUCACCCAGGAGCAGAAGAAGGAGCUCUCAGAAAUUGCCCAGAGCAUUGUUGCCAAUGGAAAGGGGAUCCUGGCUGCAGAUGAAUCUGUAGGUACCAUGGGGAACCGCCUGCAGAGGAUCAAGGUGGAAAACACUGAAGAGAACCGCCGGCAGUUCCGAGAAAUCCUCUUCUCUGUGGACAGUUCCAUCAACCAGAGCAUCGGGGGUGUGAUCCUUUUCCACGAGACCCUCUACCAGAAGGACAGCCAGGGAAAGCUGUUCAGAAACAUCCUCAAGGAAAAGGGGAUCGUGGUGGGAAUCAAGUUAGACCAAGGAGGUGCUCCUCUUGCAGGAACAAACAAAGAAACCACCAUUCAAGGGCUUGAUGGCCUCUCAGAGCGCUGUGCUCAGUACAAGAAAGAUGGUGUUGACUUUGGGAAGUGGCGUGCUGUGCUGAGGAUUGCCGACCAGUGUCCAUCCAGCCUCGCUAUCCAGGAAAACGCCAACGCCCUGGCUCGCUACGCCAGCAUCUGUCAGCAGAAUGGACUGGUACCUAUUGUUGAACCAGAGGUAAUUCCUGAUGGAGACCAUGACCUGGAACACUGCCAGUAUGUUACUGAGAAGGUCCUGGCUGCUGUCUACAAGGCCCUGAAUGACCAUCAUGUUUACCUGGAGGGCACCCUGCUAAAGCCCAACAUGGUGACUGCUGGACAUGCCUGCACCAAGAAGUAUACUCCGGAACAAGUGGCUAUGGCCACCGUAACAGCUCUCCACCGUACUGUUCCUGCAGCUGUUCCUGGCAUCUGCUUUUUGUCUGGUGGCAUGAGUGAAGAGGAUGCCACUCUCAACCUCAAUGCUAUCAACCUUUGCCCUCUACCAAAGCCCUGGAAACUAAGUUUCUCUUAUGGACGGGCCCUGCAGGCCAGUGCACUGGCUGCCUGGGGUGGCAAGGCUGCAAACAAGGAGGCAACCCAGGAGGCUUUUAUGAAGCGGGCCGUGGUAAGAUGCUGCCACCUCUUAUCUACUUGAUGAUGUUCACAUUUGGGGCUUGACUUUCCAACACGGAGAAGCAUUGUUUUCUUCGGGCCAAGAAGGCUAACUGCCAGGCGGCCAAAGGACAGUAUGUUCACACGGGUUCUUCUGGGGCUGCUUCCACCCAGUCGCUCUUCACAGCCUGCUAUACCUACUAGGGUCCAAUGCCCGCCAGCCUAGCUCCAGUGCUUCUAGUAGGAGGGCUGAAAGGGAGCAACUUUUCCUCCAAUCCUGGAAAUUCAACACAAUUAGAUUUGAACUGCUGGAAAUACAACACAUGUUAAAUCUUAAGUACAAGGGGGAAAAAAUAAAUCAGUUAUUGAAACAUAAAAAUGAAUACCAAGGACCUGAUCAAAUUUCACACAGCAGUUUCCUUGCAACACUUUCAGCUCCCCAUGCUCCAGAAUACCCACCCAAGAAAAUAAUAGGCUUUAAAACAAUAUCGGCUCCUCAUCCAAAGAACAACUGCUGAUUGAAACACCUCAUUAGCUGACUGUAGAGAAGUGCAUCUUAUGAAACAAUCUUAGCAGUGGUAGGUUGGGAAGGAGAUAGCUGCAACCAAAAAAGGAAUAAAUAUUCUAUAAACCUUCA
Molecule: RNA transcript, 1743 nt
Organism: Pan troglodytes (chimpanzee)
Lineage: Eukaryota; Metazoa; Chordata; Mammalia; Primates; Hominidae
Gene: ALDOB
Gene name: aldolase, fructose-bisphosphate B
Exons: 9
Source: RefSeq, a predicted model, not a curated record